Molecule: long non-coding RNA, 1625 nt
Filed under: Triticum aestivum (bread wheat)
Lineage: Eukaryota; Viridiplantae; Streptophyta; Magnoliopsida; Poales; Poaceae
Description: long non-coding RNA (TAES_LNC006754)
Source: RNAcentral
GCCAGAACAAUAGGAAAAAGGUGUCCGCGGGAACAAGAGAUGUGUUAAAGCAAAAACCAAAAAUACAAUGCUUGAAGAUGAAGAUUAAGUAAAUAGUACGACAAACUAUUUGUAUCGACCAAGGUAAGUAAGAGUACCUGACAUCAACUAGAAUAAGGACACUUAUUAGAUUAGGCGUGUGAAUGUUAACAAUAUUCUUAGUCCAAACAGAUUAAAAACUUUGUUCAUGUAGUUUCCUUUAUGUACAUGCUAUUUUAUCCGAAUUUGUAUGAGGCCAACACAAUAUACAAGAACAUACUACAAGACCAGAGUUUGAGACAUUAGGAUUCACUUCACAAUUUGAAGAAACUAUACUUUGGCAAAUCUAUAUGACGCCACCACAAUAUACAGGAACAUACCUUGCUUCAGUAACUUAAUAGCAGAACCAGAUAUAAGCAAAUCAAGAGCCUCUCACAUACCGCUAGCUUUGCCCAGUGCUGCCAUUCUGACCAAAAACAAGGUUCCCAUUUUUAGACUUAGUAGCAAAGCAAAUCCACUAUAUAAAGAUAUAAAGAUAUCUAAUUUAGGCAUAAAUUUUCUGGAUGGUCACUAUACAAUGGCAAAUAAAGGCAUAAAUUUUCAGCACUAAAGAAAGUACAAAAACAAAUUUAAUAUAUUCUCUUUCUUGACCAGCUCCAAAUAAGAUCUUUUGGUUCAUGAAAGGUAGAAGAUACAGAGAAAGUGAAAAGAAUGAUCACCCAGACAUAAGGCCUCGGCACAAACAGGUUAGCUGACAGGAGCAGAAGAGAUAUAUGUUGACUACAUCACCAUUGGUGAGCUCAAACAUAAUACACUAAAAAGUGACUUGAUCAAGAAUAGUAGGUAUUGUCCUCCACCAAGUGAUCAGCUAGCUAUGAAAAGAGUUAUGGGAAACCAUGUGAAUCCAUACAACCAGUUAGCUACGAUUAAUUGCUGUUGCUUUUCCUAAAUUUAAUAAUUUUCAGAACAAUAUCUAAUUUUUAGAACUGUUAUAUCUAAAUGUCAAACCAAGGCGUAUAUUCAGAGAAAGAAGAUAAGUUCAGUUUUGUCUGUACUGCGGGCUCGCAUAUCAGUUCAGUUUGGUUUGUAUUGCGGGCGGUCAGAACCACAAACUAAUUGAGGGAGAAGAUAAGGGACCUGUUAGCUGAUGGCCUGAUGUGCUGCAGGCGGCCGGAAUCGAGAGUCCUUGAUCGAUCGAGCAGGGAGCUUGGUCCGGGCGGCGCUCUCCCUAGGCCCGCGACGGCGCUCCUCCCCAAUCCGCAGCGGUGCUCCUUCCAUGCCGCCGCGGCGGUUCACGGCAACAGGUUCCCGGACCGGUGGUGUACUCUUCUCUGGUGCUCACGGCUGCACGGCGCAGCCUCUCCUCCGCGGCGGCGCCGCUCGGCUGCUCGGAGGCGGCUCUAAUCUUUCCUUUCGAAUUUCCUUUUUCCCACCGUUUUCUCAUUCUGCUUCGCUGGAACGCCUGUGGUGCGUAUGUGUGGGGUAAUUUUUUACUGCUGUCCGUUGGAAUGCGGUUUGGAGGGCUGAUUCGUGGCCGCAUGCUGUGUGGAACAGGGGAUAGACUGAGAUGAUAACAAUUUUUUCUUUUCUUUUUAUUUUAGAAAAUG